Long non-coding RNA from Helicoverpa armigera (cotton bollworm), 2834 nucleotides. RefSeq lists it as uncharacterized. The transcript is spliced from 2 exons. The record is from RefSeq and is a predicted model, not a curated record. Lineage: Eukaryota; Metazoa; Arthropoda; Insecta; Lepidoptera; Noctuidae.
GCGCGCGCCGCGUGGUGAGUAGUGGCGCUUACCGCCCGCCGCCUUGCUCUAUAAAAGAAGCUCGUACGUUUUCACCACAGUCUGUAUCGGAUCGGAUACGGAAACACUCGUACGUGACCGCUCUCAGUGACAGAUAAAAUCUAAAGUUUUAUUCCUUCAUCGCGUCUACACCAAGUGUAUUUAAAACGAUCACAAUGAAAGCUUCAAUGCUCCUGUUUUUCGCUCUGAUCCUGGUACUCUGCAGCUGUCUCUUGGCCUACCCUGCAGUACUUUCUGAAAAAAAUCCCGGACUCUAUGAAGAUUUUGAAAAUCUAUUCCGUGGAAACGUGGAAUACAACGCAAGGUUUAAGCGCCGUAUCCUGAGUUAUGGCAGAUGUGCUAAAGGUUACCUCUCGUUCUUCUACAGAUGUGUCACCUGUCAACUGUACAAAGGACUUACUGGAAGAGACUGUAAGGACAGAGAUUAACUACAACCAACCGAUGACAGCGACAAGCUCUCUUCAAGUCAACAACACCAUUUUUAUUUGGAAAUAUUUAACGUGAAAAUCUACAAUAUCGAUGCCAAAUCUUAUACAAAAAAACUUUAGGAAGAAGAGUAGCUGUCAUCACUAAUGUCUUUAUCCAAGUAACGUUAUUUUUUUGCUUCAUAUCUUCGAAAUUUUAACUUAGACAAAUUCAGCGAUCAUACGACAUUUCUCAUACUUCCAACCAAUCUUGAUUGUCGUAAUCCGUUCGGCCCAUGGAGGGAAGAAAGAUAGCGGAGUUGCCGCAUAAGGACGGUGGUUUCGAUUCUUCUUGGUCAAAUUCGUACGGUGGGCAUGACUUUUGGUCAGUUACGAGUGAACUAACGAGACAUCUUUCAGUAAUAUUUGAUACUACGAAAAAUAGGCGGAAUAACGUUCCUCGUCACUCGUUCAUCCACAUUUCUACUAUCUUAGACGAUUUUUCGCUAUGGCACCUCCGCUAGUCAUUUUUUUAUCCAUGGUUCGGCCGUAUGAUCGUUGAAUUUGUCUUUCGAGUUUUCUAUAAAUCAUACGGCUGCAUAAAUGCAAAAUCAGGAAGUCCAAACCGACAGUUAUUAUUGACUGUCUGUCGUAGUCCAUCCAGCCGUAUGAUCAUUGAAAUUGUCUCGAUUACCUAUAAAAUUGUUUAGCUCGACGUUAAAAAAACCCAACUUGGCAAGUGUAAGAAUACUUGUACUGUAAUAAUGCAAAUGUAUUUUUUUAUGCUUUCUGCAAUAUUGUUAUGAAAUCAUCGUUUUUCAAAAUGAUAUAUUUUUAACGUAUGAACAUUAUGUUAUUUCCUAAACAAAUAUAAACUCGAGAAAAAAGUUGAGGAAUGGUAGUUAGGUAUGACCUAGAUCAGUGGUCCUUAACCUUUUAGUCAUGAGGGACCAUUUCACCAAACGUUUAAUUAUUUUUUAAGACUCAGAACCAAAAUUACGUAAAAUGUAGCCCAAACGUACAUUUUUUUCCGGUUGGACAAGUAAGAUGGAUAUACAUAUGAUACGAAAGAUGGAUAGCAACGUCGGGAAGCAAAGCUUCGCGGACCACUUGGAAUGUAUCCAGGGACCACCGGUUAAGACCCACUGUCCUAGAUAGAUAAGCUAGCGUUUUGUGCCUUUAUAUAAAUGUAAAAGUAGGUUUUAUAGAAAAGAGGUUGCUCACAAUUAAUUCCAAAAAGAAACGAUGUCAUUCCUGUAAGCGCGGCUACGUUGAUGGGAACACCAACUUAACUGAGCCUUAGUGUUAACUCGCUCGAUAUCUAUAGGUAUCUUUUGCAAAAAAAGCGGGCACCUAUGCUAAAUCUUGGUUUUAAGGAGUUGGUUGGUGGGCUCAAAAAGUUUGUAUGAUUGGAAUCGAAAGAGUUAGCUAAGCAUGCGUAAGAGCGUACCUAUUGUCAAUUUAAAUUUUGGAUAAUUGCUAAGAAACUGGUUAACUUUGUUCUGAACUGAUUCCUGGACAGUACAUCGGCGUUUUGAAAAAUUCUAGGUUUGAUCUUCGGAAUACUGAUAACGCAGUUUUUAUCAAAUCACAUCAAAAAAAUUUGAAAAUCUAUGCACAUUAGGUAAAGUUGUCUCCUGUACUGAAUAGUCUAUACUGAUGAUGAAUAGCUAUGUUAAGAGUUUCGUUAUUUUCGUGUGCACCGAUCUACUGUUUGCAUAUUGAACUUUCGCUGUUUAAAAUAUCCCUUUCUAUGUACGCUUCUUGUUGGCAAUUGUUAUAAUUUUUGUAAACUAGUGUAGUAUUUUUAAUUAUAUGUAUGCAAGUAUUGUCAUAAAUCACAGUGUUUUAAAUUCCAUGAUCUAAGAAAUUCAAAGUUGAUGAAUUGAGCAAUAGUUAAAGAUUGUAUUAAUAUUCAGACUUGUUUUACGAUAGCUCCAAAGGAAGUCGCCGACUUUUAGCAUUUGCAUUUGAAAUGUUUGUUUAUGAAAUAAUAUUAUUACAAUUAUUUGCUUCUGAAUAUUAUUAUUGAUAAUUACUGUCUUUGUUGUAUACGAUGAUUGUAUAUUGAUUGUCUUGACCAGUGGAAAUUGUGUUUUUAAAUGUUUUUUAAUCAAACAAUGUUCACAAUACAGUAAAUGUUCUCAUGUUAUGUUACACUGUAUUUAUAAUUAAGUUAAUUCCUAGGUGGAGGGUAUUAUUAUAUAUUAUUAUAUCUACGUUUUUUAUAUAAAAAGUUACUAUUAGUAGUAAGUAUAAGCGAAGAUGUUUAAUUGACUCUCUAAUAGUUGUAGUCUCUUAUUUUUCUGUUUUCUUAAUAACAAUCGCAUAAAGUGUGUCGUGUUAACUACUAACAUAAAUAUGGAAUAAAUGCAUUUAUUUCUUCUUUAA